AUCCAGCUGACGAGUCCCGAAUAGGACGAACCGCGCAUCCUGCAU
Molecule: non-coding RNA, 45 nt
Filed under: Schistosoma margrebowiei
Lineage: Eukaryota; Metazoa; Platyhelminthes; Trematoda; Strigeidida; Schistosomatidae
Source: RNAcentral